RNAcentral lists this ribosomal RNA (270 nucleotides) under uncultured bacterium. RNAcentral describes it as "partial 16S ribosomal RNA". It matches the Rfam family "Bacterial small subunit ribosomal RNA", at positions 29 to 286 of the family's 1533-position model. The record is from RNAcentral.
AGCGAACGUUAGCGGCGGGCCUAACACAUGCAAGUCGAGCGAGAAAGUGGCUUCGGCCAUCAGUAAAGCGGCGGACGGGUGAGUAACACGUAGGUAAUCUUCCCUUGAGCGGGGGACAACAGUUCGAAAGGACUGCUAAUACCGCAUAAGUUUCUGGGGUCUCCGGACUCUGGAAGGAAAGCUAGGUAGCAAUAUCCGGCACUCGAGGAGGAGCCUGCGUCGCAUCAGCUAGUUGGUGGGGUAAUGGCCUACCAAGGCUAAGACGCGUAG